Molecule: ribosomal RNA, 2718 nt
Rfam family: Bacterial large subunit ribosomal RNA
GGUUAAGUUAGAAAGGGCGCACGGUGAAUGCCUUGGCACUAGGAGCCGAAGAAGGACGCGACGAACGGCGAAACGCCUCGGGGAGCUGUAAGUGAGCUUUGAUCCGAGGAUAUCCGAAUGGGGGAACCCACCAUUUUUAAUCGAAUGGUACCCGUAUCUGAAUACAUAGGAUACGAGGAGGCAGACCCGGGGAACUGAAACAUCUAAGUACCCGGAGGAAGAGAAAGAAAAUCGAUUUCCUGAGUAGCGGCGAGCGAAACGGAAAGAGCCCAAACCUGAAGGCUUGCCUUCAGGGGUUGUAGGACAUUCCAUUGGAGUCAUAAAGAAACGGAGUAGGUGAAGCAUCUGGAAAGAUGCGUCAAAGAGGGUAACAACCCCGUAGCCGAAACUUCGUUUCCUCCGGAGUGUAUCCUGAGUACGGCGGGACACGUGAAACCCCGUCGGAAUCCGGGAGGACCAUCUCCCAAGGCUAAAUACUACCUAGUGACCGAUAGUGAACCAGUACCGUGAGGGAAAGGUGAAAAGCACCCCGGAAGGGGAGUGAAAGAGAUCCUGAAACCGUGUGCCUACAACUAGUCAGAGCCCAUUAACGGGUGAUGGCGUGCCUUUUGUAGAAUGAACCGGCGAGUUACGAUGUCGUGCAAGGUUAAGCUGAUGAGGCGGAGCCGUAGCGAAAGCGAGUCUGAAUAGGGCGAUUUGAGUACGCCGUCGUAGACCCGAAACCGAGUGAUCUACCCAUGUCCAGGGUGAAGUUCAGGUAACACUGAAUGGAGGCCCGAACCCACGCAUGUUGAAAAAUGCGGGGAUGAGGUGUGGGUAGGGGUGAAAUGCCAAUCGAACUCGGAAAAUAGUCGUUUCUCCCCGAAAUAGCUUUAGGGCUAGCCUCGAGGGAAGAGUCUUGGAGGUAGAGCACUGAUUGGACGAGGGGUCCCCACAGGAUUACCGAAUUCAGUCAAACUCCGAAUGCCAAGUACUUAUCCUCGGGAGUCAGACUGCGAGUGCUAAGAUCCGUAGUCAAGAGGGAAACAGCCCAGACCAUCAGCUAAGGUCCCAAAGUAUACGUUAAGUGGCAAAGGAUGUGGAGUUGCCCAGACAACCAGGAUGUUGGCUUAGAAGCAGCCACCAUUUAAAGAGUGCGUAAUAGCUCACUGGUCGAGUGACUCUGCGCCGAAAAUGUAACGGGGCUAAACGUAUCACCGAAGCUAUGGAUGAACACCUUAGGUGUUCGUGGUAGGGGAGCGUUCCAAGGACAGCGAAGCUAGAUCGUGAGGACUAGUGGAGUGCUUGGAAGUGAGAAUGCCGGUAUGAGUAGCGAAAGAGGGGUGAGAAUCCCCUCCGUCGAAAGCCCAAGGUUUCCUGAGGAAGGCUCGUCCGCUCAGGGUCAGUCGGGACCUAAGCCGAGGCUGAAAAGCGUAGGCGAUGGACAACAGGUUGAUAUUCCUGUACCACCUCUCCACCGUUUGAGUAAUGGGGAACGCAGAAAGGUAGGGUGAGCGCGCUGAUGGAUAUGCGCGUCUAAGCUGUUACGAGGCUUAAAGAGGGCAAAUCCGCUUUCCGUUCGGCUGAGCAGUGAUAGCGAGGAAAUUUAGUACCGAAGUCCUUGACCGGCCGGAGAAAAGCCUCUAGCGAGGUGGAAGGUGCCCGUACCGCAAACCGACACAGGUAGGCGAGAAGAGAAUUCUAAGACGCGCGGGAAGAACUCCUUGUUAAGGAACUCGGAAAUGACCCCGUAAGUUCGGGGAGAAGGGCGUCGAUCAGGGUGCAAGCCCGAGAGAGCCGCAGUGAAGAAUUCAAAGGCGAACUGGGGUUUGUAGCAACACAGGUCUGUGAGCCGCAAGGCGAAGUAUAGGGGCGCACCUGCCCGGCGCCCCGAAGGUUAAGAGGAGGGGGUUAUCCUUCGGGAGAAGCUUGAAUUGAAGCCCAGUAAACGGCGGCCGUAAACUAUAACGGUCCUAGGUAGUGAAAUUCCUCGUCGGGUAAGUUCCAACCCGCACGAAUGGUGUAACGAUUUGCAGACCGCUCCAACGAGAGACCCGGUGAAAUUAUAGUACCUGUGAAGAUGCAGGUUACCCGCGACAGGACGGAAAGACCCCAUGGAGCUUUACUGUAGCCUGAUAGUGGAUGUUGGUAUCGUUUGUACAGGAUAGGUAGGAGCCUUUGAAACCGGAGCGCCAGCUUCGGUGGAGGCAUUGGUGGAUACUACCCUGACGGUGCUGACAUUUUAACCUCGACCCGUGAUCCGGGUCAGGGACAUUGUCAGGUGGGCAGUUUCGACGGGGCGGUCGCCUCUUGAACAGUAACGGAGGCGCCCAAAGGUUCCUCAGAAUGGUUGGAAAUCAUUCAAGAAGUGCAAGGCAUAAGGGAGCUUGACUGCGAGACCUACAAGUCGAGCAGGGACGAAAGUCGGGCUUAGUGAUCCGGCGGUGCCGAAUGGAAGGGCCGUCGCUCAACGGAUAAAAGCUACCCUGGGGAUACAGGUCACCCAAGAGUCCAUAUCGACGGGGAGGUUUGGCACCUCGAUGUCGGCUCGUCGCAUCCUGGGGCUGAAGUAGGUCCCAAGGGUUGGGCUGUUCGCCCGAUUAAAGCGGCACGCGAGCUGGGUUCAGAACGUCGUGAGACAGUUCGUUCCCUAUCCGUCGCGGGCGAGGCAAUUUGAGAGGAGCUGUCCUUAGUACGAGAGGACCGGGAUGACACACCGCUUGGUGACCAGUUGUUCCG